GUCGAGAAUUUUUCACAAUGGGGGAAACCCUGAUGGAGCGACGCCGCGUGGAGGAUGAAGGCCCUCGGGUUGUAAACUCCUGUCAUGCGGGAACAAGAAAGUGAUAGUACCGCAAGAGGAAGAGACGGCUAACUCUGUGCCAGCAGCCGCGGUAAUACAGAGGUCUCAAGCGUUGUUCGGAUUCAUUGGGCGUAAAGGGUGCGUAGGUGGCGAUGCAAGUCUGGUGUGAAAUCUCGGAGCUAAACUCCGAAAUUGCACCGGAUACUGCGUUGCUAGAGGAUUGUAGAGGAGAGUGGAAUUCACGGUGUAGCAGUGAAAUGCGUAGAUAUCGUGAGGAAGACCAGUUGCGAAGGCGACUCUCUGGGCAAUUCCUGACACUGAGGCACGAAGGCCAGGGGAGCAAACGGGAUUAGAUACCCUUGUAGUCC
Molecule: ribosomal RNA, 428 nt
Filed under: uncultured bacterium
Lineage: Bacteria
Description: partial 16S ribosomal RNA
Rfam family: Bacterial small subunit ribosomal RNA
Source: RNAcentral